GCAGACCCCUCGCAUGGCGUCAUCUUGUGAACCUCCCCAGGGCCGGAAGGCAGCAAGGAUAAACAGGCUCUGGCGGGUGUGCGAGGGGUCCUUUUC
RNAcentral lists this signal recognition particle RNA (96 nucleotides) under Actinocorallia herbida. Its description in RNAcentral is "Bacterial small signal recognition particle RNA". It matches the Rfam family "Bacterial small signal recognition particle RNA". From Rfam's summary of the family: The signal recognition particle (SRP) is a universally conserved ribonucleoprotein involved in the co-translational targeting of proteins to membranes. Lineage: Bacteria; Bacillati; Actinomycetota; Actinomycetes; Streptosporangiales; Thermomonosporaceae. The record is from Rfam by way of RNAcentral.